Glycine soja is the source of this 2130-nucleotide RNA transcript. It is a transcript of the gene named protein SENSITIVE TO PROTON RHIZOTOXICITY 2-like, with no coding region annotated. The record is from RefSeq and is a predicted model, not a curated record. NCBI's taxonomy places the organism in Eukaryota, Viridiplantae, Streptophyta, Magnoliopsida, Fabales, Fabaceae. The transcript has 2 exons.
UUUUUCACCCUAUCAUAAUACCAUGAUAUAUACAUAUAUGUUAUGGUGCUUAAUUUGCUUCUGCAACUUCAUAUUAAGGAAACAAAUCAAGCAUAUAUAUAUAUAUAUAUAUAUAUAUGCUCUCAAUAUGUAGUAUCUUUCUUUCAAUCAAGAAACUCAUCAGAACCAAUCUUUAGAAAACAGCUAUUGGAAGAAGAUAAUUUAAAGAAGCAAUGAUUUCAAGGGCCACAUCUAGCUUUCAAAGUGUUCAUCAUCAAGGGCUUCAGAUGUUCCCUGACGCGGAAGAUUUUGUGUCACCCUCUGUGGAAUCAGGCUCAGGUACUUCACACUCUAGUUCCCUCCUCUUCAAUCUCUCUAUUCUGAAGGACAAGCUUAGUGAGGUGCAGACCCUGGUAGGUGUUAUUCUCUCCCCAAAUCAAAGCCUACCCGAGUCAACUUCCAUGGCCAUAUCCAGCAUGAACUCCACAAUCCAAGAAAUCGUAGUGACUGCCACAUCAAUGAUGUUCACCUGCCAACAGAUGGCUCUCACUGCCCCUCCAGGUACUAAUAAUAAUACUAACAAAUUGCACCACCACCAGAACAAGUCGUUGCCUCACUCAUCAAAUAUUAAUUUUGCCACAAAUGGAAGCUGUGUACUUGGUAAUAACAUAGGAACAGAUAAUAUCAGUGACCAUCAUGGUUUAUUUUCCAGUACUGAGUCAGAGACACUUGACUGGUUUAGUGAAAGCUAUAACAAUAACGAUGAUAAUAGCAAUAGCAAUAUUAUUAGUAAGGUUGCGAUCAGUGAAAACAAUAUUAUUACUAGAGGAGGAGGAGGAGGAGGAGUACUGUCUCCAAGGGAUGAACCUAAUGAAGAAGGGCUUUCACCAAAGAUGAAUAGUGAUGAUAUAAUUAUUGAAUUAGAUGCUGCGAAUCUGUUAGCUAAGUACACACACUAUUGCCAAGUUUGUGGCAAAGGGUUCAAGCGUGAUGCGAAUUUGAGGAUGCACAUGAGGGCUCACGGGGAUGAGUACAAGACCAAUGCUGCUUUGAGUAACCCAAUUAAGAACCAAAGAGAUCUAGAGUGUUUGAUGAGUGUGAAGCCAAAGAGGUAUUCGUGUCCUCAAGAGGGGUGUAGGUGGAACCAGAGGCAUGCCAAGUUCCAGCCACUGAAGUCAAUGAUUUGUGCCAAGAACCAUUACAAGAGAAGCCACUGCCCCAAAAUGUACGUGUGCAAGAGGUGCAACCAGAAGCAGUUCUCGGUGCUCUCUGAUCUGAGGACACAUGAGAAGCACUGUGGGGAUCUCAAGUGGCUGUGCUCGUGUGGCACCUCGUUUUCUAGAAAAGACAAGCUUAUGGGUCAUGUGGCUUUGUUCGUGGGGCACCAACCAGCUAUCAACAACAAUGGUCUCUCAUAUUCGGGAAAAUUAAUUAGAGCAGCACCACACAUUGCAAAUGCAGAUUGAUGGUAUAUAGCUCAAGAUGAUGUUUAUGUCUCUAUCUAUCAUGAUUGAUUGAUCAUAAAGAGCAGGUGCAGCUUCUAUAUUUCUACCACUUGGUCUCGCUACAACGCUACAUACAGUUUGCCCCAAUAGACUGGCGAAUGGCGAAUGGCGAUGGCACAGGGCUCUUGGAUCUUGGAAAUUUGGUAUGAAGAUUGGAGAGUAUUUUGUCUUGCAUUUCCUUCCUGAGCGGUUUUUCUUUAAUCGAUUUCUUUUAAAGAGAGUACAUAAGUGUGAUGUACCAUUAAAUUGUUUAGUGAACACUAUAAAAUCCUUAUAGUAAGACUUCACUGAAAAAGUUCUACAUAUGAUCCUUCAAAAAGAAAGAAAAAGUUCUAUAUAUGAUAAGUCAUAUUGUUAGGUAAAAUUAUAAUACUUAUACUAAUUUAAUAGUUUAAUAUAUAUUGUAACCUAAAUAUUUUGUUAAAAAAAUUUAUAGCAGCGGAGACAAGAUAAAGGACUAACUUUUCAUAUAUAGAACUUUUUUCAGUGAAGCGAUAUACUUAUUUAAAGGUGAACACACACUUAAGACAAUCUCAUUAGAUCAGUUUUUGUCGGAAUUCCUUGGUGUUAAUGUCUAACAUCGUACACUGUAUGGAAGAAUUAUAACUUUAAACCAAUAUCCAUGGGACUAAUUAAUAAUGUCGUA